GACGAACGCUGGCGGCGUGCUUAACACAUGCCAGUCGAACGGAAAGGCCCUGCUUUUGUGGGGUGCUCGAGUGGCGAACGGGUGAGUAACACGUGAGUAACCUGCCCUUGACUUUGGGAUAACUUCAGGAAACUGGGGCUAAUACCGGAUAGGAGCUCCUGCUGCAUGGUGGGGGGUGGAAAGUUUCGGCGGUUGGGGAUGGACUCGCGGCUUAUCAGCUUGUUGGUGGGGUAGUGGCUUACCAAGGCUUUGACGGGUAGGCGGCCUGAGAGGGUGACCGGCCACAUUGGGACUGAGAUACGGCCCAGACUCCUACGGGAGGCAACGGUGGGGAGUAUUGCACAAUGGGCGGAAGCCUGAUGCAGCAACGCCGCGUGCGGGAUGACGGCCUUCGGGUUGUAAACCGCUUUCGCCUGUGACGAAGCGUGAGUGACGGUAAUGGGUAAAGAAGCACCGGCUAACUACGUG
RNAcentral lists this ribosomal RNA (468 nucleotides) under uncultured bacterium. Its description in RNAcentral is "partial 16S ribosomal RNA". It matches the Rfam family "Bacterial small subunit ribosomal RNA", at positions 28 to 507 of the family's 1533-position model. The record is from RNAcentral.